CAUGAAUACUUCUGGAGCUAUAUAUCCUGGAGUCCCUCUCGCACCCAGCACUGAGACUACACUUUCCUUUCUCUUGCAUAGCUUUGCAAGACCAAAGUCUGAGAUUUUUGGGCAAAAAUCUUCAUCUAGGAGAACAUUUUGAGGUUUUAUGUCAAAAUGCACGAUCCUGGUAUUACAGCCACGAUGUAAGUAUUCUAGACCUCUAGCAAUGCCAAUUGCAAUAUCAUGUAAUAUUUUCUGCUCUAACCGGCAUUUGUUAUGCUCAGAACAUUGAUCAUUUAUGAACUUAUCUAGAGAUCCAUUUGGCAUGUAUUCAUAGAUCAAUGCUCUUUUAGUCCUUUCGUAGCAAAACCCCAAAAGGGAAACUAUGUUUACAUGGGAGGUUCUACUAAUACUUGCAACUUCGUUAAUAAAUUCUUCUCCAUUAGGUGUAGCCUUAUUUAGGACUUUUACUGCAACAAAACGACCAUCUGGUGACUUUCCUUUGUAGACACCUCCAAAUCCCCCUUCACCUAGCUUAUACUCGAAUGAGUUUGUCAUUUUCUCUAUAUCUGAAUAUGAAUAUUGCUUUGGCAUGAGACAAUUAUAGUUCAUAAUGAAUGCCUCCAUCUUUUCUUGUUUUGCAUUCUUCCAUUGUAAUGUCAUUGCUUUGCCACUGCAAAUUACAUGUCUUUUGAAACAAUAGUAGCAUCCUAAAAAAAUGGAGAUAGCAGUGGCAGCUGCCAUUGCAAUCCCUGUAAUGGCACAAAUAUUGCUAUGUUAUUAAUAUUGCUCAAAAUUAAAGAAAUUCUAAUGUGUGUUGUAGAAGAGCAUAAUUGUACCUAUUUUAAGUGAAACUUUACGAGAUUUGCCCCCUGCAAUUAUCAUGAGAUCCAAAAAGAUUAAUCAUACGUGAAUGACCAUUUUAAAAUAAAUUUGCACUUUUUUGCUUCAAAAUAUAUACAUUGGAAAUUCCUAAAAUAGAUAGAGGCUGCCUGGUUUUGAAUUCUUGACCUUUUGCACCACAAGACAAAUAUUUGAUCGCUGGACUACUAGUAUAGUGGUAGGCAUGUAUGCUUAAAACUUUAAAAUUGUUAAUAUAGCACAUAUUUGAUUCACAAAAUUUUUCAUAUUAUCACCUAAUGUGG
Molecule: unclassified non-coding RNA, 1127 nt
Filed under: Hevea brasiliensis (rubber tree)
Lineage: Eukaryota; Viridiplantae; Streptophyta; Magnoliopsida; Malpighiales; Euphorbiaceae
Source: RNAcentral